RNAcentral lists this small nucleolar RNA (70 nucleotides) under Stegastes partitus (bicolor damselfish). RNAcentral's name for it is "Small nucleolar RNA SNORD59 (ENSSPAG00000016391.1)". It matches the Rfam family "Small nucleolar RNA SNORD59". From Rfam's summary of the family: U59 belongs to the C/D class of snoRNA which contain the C (UGAUGA) and D (CUGA) box motifs. Most of the members of the box C/D family function in directing site-specific 2'-O-methylation of substrate RNAs. Lineage: Eukaryota; Metazoa; Chordata; Actinopteri; Pomacentridae. The record is from Rfam by way of RNAcentral.
UCUUCAGUGAGUAGACAGUGACCUUUGUUCUUCUGAGUUUGCUGAAGCCACAAUUUCUGUCCUGGGAAGA